This 299-nucleotide ribosomal RNA is filed under the name uncultured bacterium. RNAcentral describes it as "partial 16S ribosomal RNA". It matches the Rfam family "Bacterial small subunit ribosomal RNA", at positions 8 to 290 of the family's 1533-position model. The record is from RNAcentral.
AGAGUUUGAUCAUGGCUCAGGACGAACGCUGGCGGCGUGCCUAACACAUGCAAGUCGAACGGGGCUCUUUGGAUCGAGACUUCGGUCAAGUGAAUCUGAGCUUAGUGGCGGACGGGUGAGUAACGCGUGAGCAACCUGCCUUUCAGAGGGGGACAACAGUUGGAAACGACUGCUAAUACCGCAUAACGUGUCGAGGAGGCAUCUCCUUGACACCAAAGAUUUAUCGCUGAAAGAUGGGCUCGCGUCUGAUUAGCUAGUUGGUGGGGUAGCGGCCUACCAAGGCGACGAUCAGUAGCCGG